AAAGUUCGAAGAAGAUUUUGAUUUUAUGGCCAUGAAUGAGAAGUUCAAGAAAGAUGAAGUAUGGGGCCAUCUUGGCAAAAGUAACAGAGAAGGAGAUGGAAAUGACAGUGAUGAGGAUAUCUCUUACAACGAAUAUGAGGAUGAUCUUCCUAAGAUUGAUGUCCAGGUAUUUACUUAAAUUCUCUUCGACCUCAAUUCUAAUGCAUACCCUUGACCAUGAAUUUUGGUACUAGUUUUGUGUGUUGUGUUUAAUCUACCUUUUCUUUCCUGCAGCCUGUUUACAAUAAGGAUGACUUUUUCGACUCUUUGUCAAGUAAUGCACUUGACCAUGACUCAAAUCAUGGAAGGACCAGGUUCUCCGAGCAAAGGAAGAUAGAUGUUGAGGUAUAUCUGAUUCUUAUGCUCUACUUUCCCAAGUAUGGUUCUUCUUCAAGAAACUAAUCUUGUUUGAUGGGUGCAGACAUUCGGAGAUUUCUCAAGAUACAGGGGCGGCCGGGGUGGUCGUGGUCCUGGACGUGGUGGACGUUCUCGAGGUUCAUAUUAUGGAAGAGGUGGAGGUGGAUAUGGAUAUGGAUAUGGAAACGGAAACGGGAAUGGAAAUGGAUAUGGUUAUGGUUAUGGUGGUGGUAGGGGCAGAGGCCGUGGUGUGCCAUCCCGUACUUUGUAAAAGCAUAGGUGUAUUAUCAAGGUUGAGCUAGAAGCAAAUAUCUGCCUCUUUU
This 719-nucleotide long non-coding RNA is filed under the name Solanum tuberosum (potato). RNAcentral's name for it is "long non-coding RNA (STUB_LNC005331)". The record is from RNAcentral. Lineage: Eukaryota; Viridiplantae; Streptophyta; Magnoliopsida; Solanales; Solanaceae.